AUCCUUUGAGUUCAUGAUUCAUGUGUUGACUUGAAGAAAUAUAUAGAGUUAAAACUGAGCUGAUCAAGAUAAUAUUACCUGUAUUGAUGUUUACUGCUAAUUUGUUUCGAGCAUCAGGGACAACUAAGAUUAAGAACCUGGACGACAAUAUUGGCUCCUUGACAAUAAAACUUACAAAAGAGGAUCUGAAAGAAAUUUCUGAUGCCGUACCCACAGAAGAGGUUGCAGGAGACAGAUACCCAGAUGCUCUUGACAAAACAUCGUGGAAUUUUGCAACCACACCUCCAAGAGACUGUUGAGGUUUGAACUUAAAAUAUUUGCUGGAUGCUGCCCAUAUCAUCACUCGGGGUUGGGAACUGGGGAUGUCAUAUUUUACACAAAUAAAGGCAGAUAAAUGUCAAAAUAUGUUUACAAGCUAUUGCUACAUGAUUUCAUGCUGAACAAUUUCAUGAGUAAAAUUUUGAUCAUUAUGAUGUACUAUAUAUAUGUAAAUGUAGUGUGCCCGAUUUGUGAAAUGAGAAUAUGUGUGAGCUUUGUUAAGGUGCAACUUGAUAAAUUUUUGCCGACACUCUUUCUUUGAAAUUGAAGAUUGCAAAUAUCCAAAUUUUUUAUGGAAACAAUUUGCCUGCAUUUGCUUCAUCCUAGCACAGAUACAUGUUGAUUCGCAGGCAAAUUAUGGUGUUUGUAGAUGAAACACUUGAUUAGUACUGAAGCAAAAUUAUAUUCAAGUUACAAUGCGAAAGGAAAUGGGAAAAUAACUGCCGUUUUUUUUUUUCCAGUAAAGAGUUUGAAUCCAUUUUUGAAUGUUUUCAGACUUUUGAGUCCCAUGAAUGUGAUAUAAAAAAAUGCAAUAUUUGAAACUCGUUUUAUCUCCAGUAGUUUCUCUCCUAGAAAUUGUAAAAUUCAUUGGAAUUUGAAAGAAUCACCAAAUUAACAUCAUUUUAUUGGAAACGUGGUGGUUAAAUGAUAAAAGGGGGAUUCUCCAAAUAAGAGUUUAAUAAUACUUUUAUCAUUCAAGAGGAUAAAAAAAAAAACUACCAUUUAAGUUUGACUGAUACUAUUAUUAGAAAUUAUAGAAUAUAUCACAUAUACUACAUCAACUAUACAAUAAGGAAAUGAUGUUAUAAUUUAUGUGCAUUCAUUUUGAAGGGAUUUAUAGUUAUAUUAAAUCUAAUUACCUAUGUUAUGCAUAUAUUAAUUGGUUGUAUUGUCUCAGAUGUAUUCUAUAAUUUCUCAAUUAUUACGUCCCUUGACAUACACCCCUUGAAAGUCUUCAUGAAACCCAUUUUCAAUUGAAACUACAUAACUAGUUAAAGACAAAAUUUAAUUGAUUAUAUUUUAAAUGAAAAUUCAAUUUGAAACUUAUUUAUUCUUUUAACAAACUUUUAAGCUCACACAAUCUCAUAUUCUAUACUUAUCUUUUAUUUUUUAUUUGAAAAUAUAAUUUUUUAUAUUAAAACUAUAAAGUCGCUUAAGAUUUUCUUUUCUUACCGAAAAUUAGUUUAAGAUAUAUCAUUUCGUUUUCUGUAUUUUAAUUUAAUAAUUUUUUUAUUACUAUGUAUAUGGUUAGUGGAGUUUCUAUAAUUAAAAAUUUUAUUCAAAAGGAAAGAAAAUGGAUUGGAGUUUUUUUUCAUAAGACAAAAAUGAAUUAACUCUAUGCAGAUCCCCGCGCGGCGCCCGGGGGAUGUAUUUAAAAAAAUUCAAGGGUUUCGUAAGAUUUGAGCUCCCACUGUAUAAUAACUUCAAGCCUUUUUCAGUAAGGGCCUCAAAAUUACCUACAAGACUUGAGCUGGGCUUGCAUUCUUAAACAAGGCCGAGUUCAUCGGAUUUUAGAAAAUGUAGAAUCCCAAAACCCACCUUUUGUUUUUUUGACUUUUUACCCUUAUACAUUUACCACCUUACAUUCUCUUAUUAACCUCACUUUUUAAUUAAACCCAUUUAUUUUUAAAAUUAUCUUUAUUAAAAAAUUAAAAAUAGUUAAAUUAAAUAAUUUUAUUUUUUAUUUUCUCUUUCAUAUACUUUUUCUGCCAAGCAUCAUCUUCACCCAGUACCUAACUUCAUCACUACCAUGUCCAUCAUUACCACCGCACAUCUUCAUCACCAUCAAUCUACAACCACCUACAACACAUUAUAAUUUGUUAUUGAAUCUUAUUAAAUUUUGUAGAUAAUUGGUGGUUUCUAAUGAUGUCGAUCAUAUGUAUUUAUUUAUUACUUUUUUUUUGUGGUGAUAAUCCAACAUUUUGACAAUUGCAAUGUGGAAUUUGUUUGGGGACUAACAUUUGAUGGAAAUUGUAAAUCAAUUCAAGAAAGUGAGAGAGAUAUGAAAGAGGAAAAGUCGCGAGCUUAAGAAAAAAAAAAAUAAUAAAUAACUAGAGUUGAUCAAGAAAUACAAAUUGGUGAGAUAAAGUGAAAUAAUCAACUAUCAAUGUUCACUUUUAAAAUUUUAAUUACCUUUUACUUUUUUAGUGAUUUAGAACUCGUUAAAUUUUUUAAUUCUGUACAAGUGAAAAUUAGCCAAUAGAAAUGUAUGCUGGUAAGUUGCUUGUUAAUCUUACUGGCAGUUGAGCUUUAGUACAAUUAGAUGACAUUGUUUGUUAGCAUUGACAUUAUGAAAUUCAAUGGGCUAGCUAGGUAGAAAGAUGACAUAUGGUAGGUUUAUAAUCGUUGAGUUUCCACAUAAUUUUAAAUGUAUAGUUUUUAAAGGUUUUAGUAAAUAUUUACUAUUUAAAUAAAUAAUAUUCACCGAACACUUACUCAUUUAUAUUUAAUAAUAAGUAAUUUUGUUCUACAAAUACUUUAGAGGCAUUAUGUCUAUUUUUAUUGGUCUACUUGUCUUUAACAUUUUUGGUCCUAAAAUAAUUAUCAAUUUUUAAGAAGAAUUAAAAGCAAAAGGAUGUUCACGUACCUGCUUACAUGAUGAAUGUAGUUUACCGGAAGGGUGCUUACAUAUUUGCUUACCUGAUUAAUGUAGUAUAUGAUUCUUUAUGGAUUCGACUUACAAUUUUUGUCACUUAUUUAUAUGUUUGAUUUGAUGUUAGAACUUGAAAGUGACAAAAUUUGUGAUUUAGAAGUUAAAUUAAUUUUAUUUUUAUAUUUGUAUAAUAAAAAAAAUCUAUAAUACAAUAUAUUAACACCAAACAAGACCUAAACUUCCAGCUCUCGUUUUUUUUUUUUUAAUUGAAUAAUGUAUAUGGUUCAGCUUUAGAGUUUUAGACAUUUUAAAGACGUUUAUUUUUCAACUUAACACUUAAAAAUUGGUGAUUAUGUUUGAAUUUAAUUUUUUUUAUUUUGGCCAUGGUUGCUGUGUAUGUGUGUGUAUGUAUACAAAUACAUCACGACUUGCUCCCCGCACAGAUCACGCUUUAGAUUUUUAAUUAUAUAUUUUUAUUAUAGGCUAAGUUAUUUUGUCCAAUACUCCACGGCAACAAAUUAAAAGCUUUAUCAAUUUCCUAAUGAUUUGAAUUUUCAUAAUUACAAGAACAAAUCAUUUCAAUCGUAUUGGUAUUAAAACUUCAAUUUGAUAUCAUACAUCACUACAGAUCACACAUGCCCGUUUUAUUGUGUAAAUCAAAAAACAACAAUAGCGAAAAUUUUAUUUUGAUAAAAAAAAAAAUUAGGUUAUAAAAUUUUGAUAAAAAGUAUAAAAACAUCAUAAUAUCUUGACCCAAAAAAAAAAAAAAAAAACUGAUUGAUAACUACCCUGAUAUUUUAAUCAAAAUUUAUAACUCAAUUUUUUUGUCAAUGCAGCAUUAUUUAAUAAACGGACUCGAUUGACCGUUAUGUUUGUUUUUCCUUUAGUUCUUUUCAACAUUUUUUUUAUUCUAAAAAUAAAUAAUUACAAGACGCGAGGGCUAAGGCCACCUUCAUUUUGGUUCCUUAUAAAUGUCAUGAGUCCCACUCCCAUGCCUCCAUAUCUCUGCAUCUUAAGAGGCCGAGACAAGUCUUAAGCCAGUACCAAGAAGAAGAAGGAGAAGAAGAAGUUUGAAGAAAAUGGCUGAAGAACAAAGAAUCGAGAUUCCAAGGGUGAAACUUGGUGGGCAAGGAUUUGAGGUAAAGUUCAUUUGGUAACUCUUUUCUUUUACAGCAUUAGGAAAAAUAUAAACAAUCACAGAGAGACAUUACUGUUUCUCAUAUAAUAUUUUUUGAUGGCUUAUAUGUGUCUUAAAGGUGUCAAAGUUGGGAUUUGGUUGCAUGGGCCUCACUGGAAUUUACAAUGAUCCUGUCCCUGUUGAAGUUGGCAUAUCAAUAAUCAAGCACGCAUUUGAUCAAGGAAUCACAUUCUUUGACACAGCAGACGUCUAUGGACCCAAUAAUGCUAAUGAACUUCUUGUUGGAAAGGUAAAUGAUUAAUUGAUAAAACUGAUGGGUGAAAACUCUUGGCAUGCAAGAUUACUUUGUUUGAGUAAUUAAUUGAUGAAUCUUUUCAGGCUCUCAAGCAGCUUCCAAGAGAAAAAGUGCAGCUAGCCACAAAAUUUGGUAUUGUCAAAUUUGACAUGAGUGAUGUUGUGGUAAAGGGUACCCCUGAGUAUGUCCGCGCCUGCUGUGAGGCUAGCCUGAAGCGUCUUGAUGUUGAAUACAUUGAUCUCUAUUAUCAGCAUCGCGUUGACACAACGAUACCUAUAGAGGAUACUGUAAGUAAUCUGCUGCCUUCAUUUCUGAUUUCCUUGUCAGUAGUCACCAGUUGCCGCAUCAAUAGUUAUAGUGGUACAUUUUGCUUCUUAUCAGAUGGGAGAACUUAAGAAGUUGGUGGAAGAAGGGAAAAUAAAGUAUAUCGGGUUAUCUGAAGCAAGCCCUGAUACUAUAAGAAGGGCACAUGCCGUUCAUCCUGUUACUGCCUUACAAAUGGAAUGGUCUCUCUGGACUCGCGAAAUUGAGGAUGAAAUAGUCCCACUUUGCAGGUUCUUUACAAUGAAACUGAAAUUGAUAUGUUGUCAUUCUCAUUUUUAUCUAUUCAACUACAGUAGAUUUUCUUUGGUAAAUGACUCUCAUGCCACCUCUUCAGCUAACAUAUUCCUGCAAGUUUGAUUUCUGUAAAUGAGAGGCAAUUGUCAAUUUUGAAUAUUAUGUUACAGGGAACUUGGAAUUGGGAUAGUUCCAUAUAGUCCACUUGGCAGUGGAUUUUUUGGUGGCAAGGCUAGUGUUGAAAGUUUGCCUGCGAACAGUCUUCUGGUAUGUUUUAGUCUACAAUGUUUCAUUUGUUAUUCUGAUGUUGUUACUUUUGAGAGUAAUUUUGAAUUGAUUAACUGAUGGUCAAUUUUUCCUUAAGACAUGGCAUCCUAGGUUCUCAGGAGAGAACAUUGACAAAAACAAGAUCUUAUAUUUGCGUCUGCAAAAGUUAGCCGAAAAGCAUGAAUGCAACCCUGCACAACUUGCACUUGCUUGGAUUCUUCAUCAAGGAAAUGAUGUAGCACCAAUUCCUGGUGAGUUAAUCUCCUUAUUUUCUUAUCAGCCGGUGCAAUCAUGAUAGACAUCUCUCCUAUAUGAGUUGAUAAGCCUUGUGUGUGCUUUAAUAUUUUUUUUUUUUCUUUUUACAGGUACAACAAAGAUUAAAAAUCUAGACGACAAUAUUGGUUCUUUGAGAGUGAAACUUACAAAUGAAGAUUUAGAUGAGAUUUCUUCUGUGAUUCCCAUCAAUGAUGUAGCAGGGGAUGGGGUAAUUGGCGGUCUCCUCCGUUGCUCCUGGAAGUUCGCGAACACACCAGCAAAAGACAGUCCUCCACUUCCGGCAAUGAGGUAGCAGGGGACAGAAUAACGGAUAAGUUUCCUUCGCUGCUCUUGGAAGUUCGUGAACAUACCAUUGCAAGAUAGUCCCUCCAGCUACUAAAAGCAUCUGAAACUUGAAGAUUUUCCAUUGAAGAGAAUUUUUUUUUUUUUGUUCAAUUUAUAAUGAGAGAUUGUGUCACUAUGGGAAAAACUACUAUAGUUUGUUUCAAUAAAUGAUGGGGGUAUGCAUGGUAGCUUUUAUGUAUUUGAUUUCAGCUUGCUUUGCUGCUAAAGAAAUACUAUGUAUUAAUGAAUGAUAUGUAUCAAACUCAAGGCUAUUUCCAGCAAGUAAUCUCCCAAAGGAACCCAACAAUAGAUGGAUUUGUAGCUAUUUGCCUCCUUUUGGUAGCAAUUUGACAUCAGUGCAAUAACAAUUCAAAUAUUGUUCGGAAAAAUUUAAACCCUUGAUUUAUUCAUUAUGUAUCAUGAUGAGGCAAUACAACAACAAAAAGAUGCUGUACUUAUCAGAUAUUAUUCAGUUUGNNNNNNNNNNNNNNNNNNNNNNNNNNNNNNNNNNNNNNNNNNNNNNNNNNNNNNNNNNNNNNNNNNNNNNNNNNNNNNNNNNNNNNNNNNNNNNNNNNNNGCAUUUCAUCUUUUUACAAGCUCAAGAGUAAUAUCAGGAGGCUAAAUUCACCCCCCAAUGUGAUAAAUAUGUAAUCUCAUUGAUAGAGAACAUUUUAGGUGGGAUCGACGUACUUCGUUUUCGUACGUACUCUUGUAAAAUUUUAACAAAUAGAUUUAUCUGAAUUGAUCAAACAUGAUAGAAAGAGAGAAUAAAAACUAAAAUGUGUCAUGUGACAUAAUUUUAAUUAGGGGUUCGGCUACGUUGGAUCAGCUCCAACGUAGCGCCAAUUUUAAUCAGGGUUUCGGCUAUGCGAUCAUAUAAAUCUGAUCUGACAAUCACGAUUACAUGGACUCAAAAUACAAGAUAUGCACAGGAUUAUGGGGUCUUCUUCUCCUUCGCUCUUCAUCGGUUGUUUGACCAAAUACAAUAAACGAAUCAAAGAAAGCAGGACAUGCAAUGAACCCUAUAUGAAAAAGGGGAGUGGGUGUCUGAAUGCCUCUUGAAUUGAAUCGGCCAAGUGUUGUUUGCAUGCGCUCUACAAACUGCUUUGCUGUCAUCUGAAGCUGAAAGAAUUAUCCCUAGCUCCGUCGGUUUUUUCUGCAACAAAACGACAAUCCCUGCCUUCACUCAUCUUAAUUCAUCCCCUGGUUUUGUUCCUCCUUUUUUAAUCAAUAAUUAAUUCCUGCUCCCUGUUUCCCCUCUCUCUGUAGACUCUACCCACCAAAACCAUUUGCUAUCUUUCCAAUUUUCUUCCGUAUAUAUACACACAUUCAUAGAACAUUUUAUAUUACAACACUACGUAUAUUACUGAGUUACUUUCAAUAGAAAGAUAAAAAAGUGGUAUACAUGUAUACGAUGGAGACGGUGCAUGGACUGUAGGGGAAGCUGGGGCGGCAAUGCUAUGCUGUAUUUUGCUUGGGUGUGAUUCUUGUUGUGUCGGUGACAAUCGCUCAUUAUGUUGAACCAAAGGAUAAUUCUGCAUCAGCUACUGGUUAAAGCAGAGCCAAGGCCACCCGUCGUGGUCUUCGACCUUUACACAGUCCUCUUCCAGUGUCUCCGAAUUUCUACUGAUCAUCACUCCCCACCAGCCAACCAGCUGCUCUAUGCUACCUUCUAGAAUUCUAGAGACUUUAAUUAACUAAUUAAAUUCUAGACUUGUUUAUGGGUUUAAUCAAUUUGCUCCCCCAGUUUCUAUGUAAAAAUUUUGCUUAAUUUAAUUAAUUGUGUUGGUGCGAGAUUCGGUGUUUGCUCGUUCACGACCAGGAUCUCUCCUCAAUGCUCAAGUUUACAGUUGACUAUAGGUAACUUCACGCUGCCCCUUUGUAGACGAGUAGAACUAUGACGCUUACUCCUUCUCUCCAACAGACUCUUGCGCACACAAAAACUGAUCAGAGCACGUUGAGGGUUUUCCCGGUGUAAACCCUCCGACGCUCAAGUCAGAAAUUUGGGCUUACUUUUGAAAAAACUCCAUCAAUAAUUUCUUGGCUUUGUAAUGAUUCCUAAAGCAAUGAAAUCCCUAUGAAUUUUCUUGAGGUUCUCACUAGAAUGCCCCCCGGAAUUUCUUUUUGUCUCUUUUUUAGUUUUUUUUGUCCAACCCUUUUACCUUUUUUUAUUGCCCUUUUCAUAGCCUCCCUGAGAAUUCGACCCUCUUUGACUCAUGUUUGCCACUUUGCCAGAAUCCUCGGAAGUAGAUGGCUGAACGUGGUGGUCGUAGUUGAGUGGACUUCGUGCCUGGAUUCUAGAAUAAUAGUGCAUGUCCUGUUUAACUGUCGUGUACUAGGUCUGCUGAUUUAGCCCCUAACGGGAAAUGUUCUCGACGCCUAGCAAGGAACCUGCUCGUAUUAUGGUUCCAGUAUAUGGUCUUCUCAUAGACGAGGAGAAGACUCCUGCUCUCGGACGUCACAUUGCUCCUCGCUUACGAGAAGGUCAACUCCUCGCCUGGGUAUGGCAGAUCACGCUAUAAUAUCCCCCCAAACACCGGUCCCCCAGUUUUUGGUAUUGGUAAUGCAAUGGAUCAAUACUAGAAACUUAAUAAUCUUGGUUUGCUCGUAGUAUAUUUCGACCUCUUGAUAUUAGGUCCAUUAUGGCUACCAUUUUGGCAAGGAUAUCUGCUCGGUAGUUCUCGCUCCUUGGGAUUUGCACUACGUCCACUGAUUCGAACUUCCCAAUCAACUGUCUGACCUUUUUUAGUUACUGUUCCAUCUUCUCAUUUAUGGGUUGAAAUCUUUCACUGACGUGGCUCGCGACCAGUUGGGAAUAGGUCCGGAUUUUCACCCUAUUUUCUUUCACUGCCUUAACUAACUCUAACCCUGCAACUAGAGCUUCGUAUUCGGCCUGGUUGUUUGUGGCCGUGAACUCUAACUUGACAACGUAAGAGAUCUCUUCCCCUUCUCGGCUUUCCAAAACAAUCCCUGCUCCGGCACCCUACUCACCUGAGGAUUCAUCCAUUGACGCUUGACAAACUGCCUCCGUCGUUGCCUGCAGCAGCACUUGUGUGGUCGAAGUCUACUUCAGGCUCUAUGAACUCUGCCACGAAGUCUGCCAUCGCUUGGGCUUUAAUUGCUGCUCGGGGUUUGUAGCUUAUAUCGAACUCGCUUAGCUCUAUUGCCCACUUCACUAGCCGACCGAAAGCAUUCGGUUUGUGUAUGGUCUACCACAAUGGUUGGUCUGCUACUACCGCAACUGAGAAUGCUUGGAAAUACGGUCUCAACUUUCGAGCAGCCACUACAAGGGCGAGUGCCCAUUUCUCCAACGGCGGGUACUUGGUCUCGGCAUCGAGCAGAGCUUUGCUGGUGUAAUAUAUUGGGUACUGGACCUCUUCUUCUUCUCUCACCAGAAUUGAGCUUAUACCGUGAUUGGAUACACAGGACGUCCCCCUCUCGUGGUGUGGACAAUAAGAGUGUUUGUUGUAGGUAUUGUUUCAGUUUCGAGAAUGCCUCUUUGUAUUCGGGGGUCCAUUCUAUUUUCCUCCCCAUCCUCAUCACUUGAAAAAAGGCAUGACAUUUGUCUGUGGCCUUGGAUAUAAAUCGACUCAACGUCGCCAACUUUCCCGUGAAGCUUUAUAUCUCCUUCAAAUUACAAGAAGAUCUCAUUCCCACAAUUGCUUGGAUCUUCUUAGGAUUCGCCUCAAUCUCCCGAUGGCUUACCAUGAACCCAAGGAAUUUUCCCGAUCCAACUCCAAAAACACACUUUUUCGGGUUGAGCUUCAUAUUAUAUUUUCUCAAAAGCCCAAAUGUCUCCUCAAGGUGCUUGACGUGUUCAUCCGGGCUUUUUGAUUUGGUUAUUAUGUCGUCCACAUAAACCUCAAUCAUUCGCCCAAUCAAUGGCUUAAAGAUUUUGUUCACCAACCUCUGGUAUGUAGCACCUGUAUUUUUAAGGCCGAAUGACAUUACCCUGUAACAAAACAAACUCUGGUUAGUAAUAAACGUCGUGCUCUCCUCUUCAUACUCGUACAUUAGGAUUUGGUUGUAUCCAGAGAAUGCGUCUAUGAAGCUGAGCAGAUUAUGCCCUGCUGUUGAGUCAACCAGCUGGUCGAUCUUCGAUAGGGGAAAGCUUUUUUUCAGGCAUGCCUUGUUGAGGUCGAUGAAGUCAACACAUAUUCUCCAUUUACCAUUGGCCUUCCUUACCAGAACGACAUUCAAUAUCCAUUCGGGGUAGUUCACUUCCUGAAAGAACCCUGCCUGCAAGAACUUCUCCACCUCGCUAUUUAUGGUUUCGUAUCUCUCCUGGUUGAAAUACCUUCUCUUUUGCCUCACAGAUCUGACACCCUUCUUUAUCGCCAACCUGUGGCAAGCCACCUCGGGGUCGAUCCCCGGCAUGUCAUCAUGCGUCCAUGCAAACAUAUAUGCGUGAGAUCGCAUGCAGUGUAUCAACUCUUGCUUCAACUCCCCCUCUAUCUUCGACCCAAUCCUAAGUGUUUUCCCCAUGCCGUCCUGAUUCAAGUUAACAGUCUCCAGCUCCUUAACCGUCUCAUGUCUGCCCCUCAUAAAUUUUGCUUAGGCAUGAAGCGAGGUAAUUUACAUCGCCUCUUUCGUUGCUGUAGUGUAACAGCUUCGAGAAAUUCUCUAAUUUUCUUGUACCACGCCAACCACCCAAUUUACUCAGUACUUGAAAGCCAAGUAAUGAUUAGAUAGCACCGCCUUACUCUUCCUCAAGAAAGGGCGGCCUAAAAUCAUCUAGUAGGGGCUCUCUUCAUCGACCACAAUAAAAUCUAGGAUCAUUGUCUUUUCUAAUGGAGCAGAACCUAUAGUAAUGGGUAGCUCGACCACUCCAAGUGGGGCUAGCCUUCCUCCCCCGAACCCCUUUAAUGAUGUGUUGAUGUGCUCUAUCCUCAAAUCUGCUAUUCCCAUUUCCUCCUAAGUUGACUUGAACAGGACAUCGACUGAGCUCUCAGUAUCUACUAGGAUUCAAUCAAACUUCUUGCUGGCGACGAUGGCUUCAAUGACAAGUGCAUCCUCGUGUGGGUAUAGCACUCAUUCUUCGUCCUCAUCCAUCCACAUGAUCAGCACAUGCUUGGUCCUUGUUCGUUUUGCCGUCGGAGUGUUAAAUAAUACUUUUUUGCUAGUCAUGGCAUACCUAGCAUAGUUCUUUCUAGAUCUGUUGGAAUCCCCAGCCAACGUUGGGCCCCCAACGAUAACUCUGAUGAUGGGCUGCUUGUGGCCUGCAUUUCUAGUGCCCUGCUCUGCUCCACAUGAUGAGCCUGCAAUCGAGAUAGCUCUAUCUAUGAACUCGUCCAAGUAACGAUUCCUCACUAAAUCUUCCACCUGAUUUUUUAGAUCACUGCAUUGGGACGUAGUAUGACCAUGGGUGCCAUGGAAUUCGCAAAACCGGCCCUUAUCUCAUCUGCUAGGUAGUUUUGCUAUUGGGGUAGGAGGAUACAGCAAACCAUGAUCCUUUAUUGCAUUGUACACAUCGUCCAGAGGCGUCUUCAAGGAAAUGUACCGCCUAUAGCUCUAACUCUGAUCGAUCACGUGCAUUGCCUUUUCCCUGUGGGCGUUGUUUUAAGCGGGAAGGGGCAUUGGUGCAUUUGGUCUGCUAGCUCUCAUACUCUGUAGGUGGUGGGUCAUCGUAGUAUGAUAAUGAAGGUGACUAUACAUCUAGUCAAGCCUUCCCCAAGAAUCUCUAGCUAGUGAACGAGAAAGCUGCAUCCUGCUACGUUGAUAUUGGAGUGGCCUCUGGUGAGGUUGGUAAGAGGCGACCCGACUUCCCGCACUGCCACCCGGGGCAUAGUGGUCCUUCCAUUUAAUUGGCCCGCUUUCUGCUAUGACUUUCUUUUCCUUUCUCCUCAACCCCUCCAGCUGGUCCGUCUUAAUCCUCGUCGUUUUUUCCUCCUCGAUUUCUAUGUCCCUCUUGGCUUGCUAAUAGGCCACGAAAUAUGACUGAACUGCUGGACUCCUUAAGUUGUACCACAGACUCUCUAUCUUUACUCCUUCCUUUAGCCCCCUGAGGAUGGUUGAAGGCUCUAAGAUCGAGGAUAGCAUGAUGGUAUCUUUUGAUAAAGUCCCGAAGAGUCUCAUUUUCUCCUUGCUUCAUACUCGUCAGCUCCAUCAUAUCAUCUUCUGGUGCCAUUGUCCCCCGAAAUUGCUCUGCAAAUUCCUGGCACAUCUGCUCGAAUGUUCUGAUGUUUCCCGGAGGAAACCUUCGAUACCACUCACCCUGCAUCUCUGGGCUUGAGAUAAUCUCUACACUCCGGUUAAGUCAUUGAAACGCUUUAUGUGCACCAAUGGGUCGGCUCGACUAGGAUCACGUGCCGUUACCUGGUCUUGCUCUUGCUCGACAUCACGCAGGUGUUGUCGAAGUUCCAUCUCCUCAGCGUUCGCAACCCUGUUAUUAUUGCCCGUGUUCUGCCUACCCGGGGGUUGAUUCCCUCUUUCAUGACUUUCCGUAGAGAUUGGUCAUUGAGUCCACCACCAGGCCUCCCGGUAGUUAAACCUUUCAUCAGAGUGGUCCCUUCACCGUUGUUCCUUCUAUUAACAUGCCCUAGUGUAACUCUGUCACUUCUCAUUAUUUCUUCGUGAGUUUCUCUUUGUUCUUUCUCAACGCGUGCAAGAUAGUUGUCAGAGUUUCCAUCUGUUUUCCAUCUGCUCAUGCAUUGCUCUUUCUCACGCCUCGUUAGUUAUUUCUCUUAAUAUUACGGAUUCGUUAAGCCCCAUAUCCCCUCCUUGGACAUUACUCCUACCUACGUCCAUAGUCGCCCCUCUUUUUUUCCCUUCCUUCUCUAUGUUAACGCUCGCUGUUAACGAAAGCUUUUUGUUCAGCUCCCCAUAGACGACGGCAAAAUGUUGAUGCGAGAUUUGAUGUAUGCUCGGUCACGACCAGAAUCUCUCCUUAAUGCUCAAGUUUGCAAUUGACUAUAGGUAACUCCACGUUGCCCUUUUCUAAACAAGUAGAACUAUGACGCUUACUGCUUCUCUCGGCAGACUCCUGCACAUACAAAAACUGGUCAAAGCACGCCGAGGGUUUUCCCGGCGUAAACCCUCUGACGCUUAAGUCCAGAAUCUAGGCUUACUUUUGGAAAAACCCUGCCAAUAAUUUCUUGGCUUUGUAAUGAUUUCUAAAGCAAUGAAAUCCCUGUGAAUUUUCCUGAGGUUCUCACUAGAAUGCCCCCUGGAAUUUCUUUUUGUCUCUUUUUUAGUGUUUUUUGUCGAACCCUUUUACCUUCUUUGAUUGCCUUUUUUAUAACCUCCCUGAGAAUUCGGCCCUCAUUGACUCACGCUCGCCACUUUGCCGAAUCAUCGUAAGUGGAUGCUUGAACGUGGUGGUCGUAGCUGAGUGGGCUUCGUGCCUGAAUUCUAGGAUAAUAGCGCAUGUCCUAUUUAACUGCUGUGGACUGGGUCUGCUGAUUUAGCCCCCAGCAGGAAAUGUUCUCGACGCCUAGCAAGGAACCUGCUCAUAUUCUAGUCCUAGCAGAUGGUCUCCUCAAGGACGAGGAGAAGACUCCUGCUCUCGGAUGUCACAUUGCUCCUCGCUUAUGAGAAGGUCAACUCCUCGCUUGGGUAUGGCAGAUCACGCUAUAAUAUCCCCCCAAACAAAUUGUUAAUUAACAAAUAACAGAAACGCUAAUUUUCGCGCAAGUUUCAAUAUUACUUACUUGGUUGCCUUCUGUUCUCGUGUUUGCGUCUUUGUCUUCCAUUAUGAGCACUAAAAAAGGUAUAAUCAACGGUUUGCGAGAUAGUUGCGACUGCAGUAGGUGCCAGCGUCGAUCAUCAGCAUGGCGAUGCAUAGUAGAAUUAAGCGAGGAGAGAUAGAGAGAUAUAAUCAAUGAUUGCUGAUCAAAUUUGAAACUUUCCAGCGAACCGACGGUGAUGAUGAGAUUGAUUCCGAUUAUAAUGAAGAAACUGAUGAAGAGCGAAGGAGAAUAAGACCCCAUAAUCCUAUGCAUAUCUUGUAUUUUGAGUUCAUGUAAUCGUGACCGUCACAUCGAAUUUAUAUAAUUGUAUGGCUGGUAUUAGUUGGAGGUGAUCCAAUGUAGCUGAACACUUUUAUUAGACAAUUACAUCGUGUGUUGUGACUGUAAAUUUCUCCCACACCUAACAUUUUGCAAAGUACAGGGAUUAUUUUGUCAAAUCUUAAAAUCGUUUGCACUUGUUUUGAAUUACACUAAAUUGACCAAUCAUGAUAGUAAGAGAAAAAAAAAUGAAAAUUCGUUUGCACACAACAACACAACAGAGGCAAAGCUUAUGUUACAAAUAUUGUAACAAACAACUAAUAGAUAUGGAUCAUUAAUUUUUAUAUUUCUUAAAUCCAAUGGAUGAAAGUAAUUUUAACCAAAAACGAGGUACGGGUGCAAUAGUAAUUUAAAGAAAAUUUUAUUUUUAAUCACAUAUUUACUUAUUUUUUCAAAUAAGUCCUCAUUAAUUUUGUAUAAUUAUAUAGUUUUUUAUAUUUAUUUUUAAAUUUUUUAAAAAGUUUUUACUAUAUUUUUAUAAGAAUUUAAAUGAUUAUCAUGUUCAUAAAUAUCCACAAAUUCUGAAUAUAUAUUUGCACCUGUAUUUAUAAAUUCUUGUCUCUCUUAAGAUAUAAACUAGAUUUUUUCUACACACACCAUAAAUGCUUUCACAUAGAUUUUGUAAUAUGAAUCUAGCAUCCUAAAUUAUAAGAGAUAUUAUAUAUCAUGAAUAUCCUAUGAAUUUAAUGAAUUAUUAGAAAAAUGAUACAAUGAAUAAAUUACCAAAAUUUCUAAUAAUUUCAAAAAACAUAAAAACCAAUAAGCUACCACAUUCUAGCUAUGGGCGAAAAGGAUUUUCAGGUGGAAGAUUUCAACUUUUCGAUUGGAUCAAUGAUUCAAACACGUGAGCUAAUAAUCAAUUAAAUUGAACUUCGUUGUAUUUAUUAAAUAAAUUAAGAAACCCAAAUUUAUCUAUAAAUUAUAUAGAAAGUGCAAACAAAAUGUAAGAGAUUAAUAAUUUCAAUGACGAAAAUAUAAAACAAAUUAAAAAUUCAGGAGAUCAAAUGAGCAAAGAAUUUUAUAAGGCUAAACAAUUAAUGAAAUAAUUCAAUAUUGAAGAUCAAGAUAAAUUAAAGUAAGAGAUCAUUAAUAUAACGAAUAAAAACUGAAUAGAUGUAAGAUUGAAUAAGUUAGAGAUUCAAUUGGAUAAUAUAGAAAAAAAAAAUUGUUGAGAAACUGUACUAAAUCUAUUGUAAAUAUAAAUAGAAAAUUUUAAGAAAAUUGAAGUUCGAAGAUACAAUUACGACAAAAAGGGCAAUUAUAUUGAUCUCCAAACAACCAUCAAUGCAAUUUAAAUGAAAGAUGUGAUUGUAUACAGGAGAAAUUCAACAAGUUUCAUCAUCUGUAAAAGUUUCCAAGCAAAUAGCACAGUCACUAGAACUUGAUGAUGAUGUAGUUUUUAACCUUUUGUAAUUUACAAGUUGCUUCAUUUUAUUCAAGGUUUGCUCUCUUUGCCUUUGCCUUUCUUUUGAGAUUUAUAAAAAUCUAUUUAAUAUCUCUAAUAGUUUAUUUAAUAUCUCUAAUAGUCAUAAGUUGGUUUGAUGAGACCAAAUGUGAUCAAAAUCAAAUCUUCUUUGCCAGAUAAAAAACCAACCAAAAACGUGAUAAAAGAAGAUGAAGAUAUACAAACCUAUGAGGCAAAUGUGGAUAUAAUUUUGGGAACUGUGAGAAAUAAUAAAGACUUGAGGGGGCAUAGGUUUUGCCAUUGAUGUUGACGAAAGGGUGGCUAAUAUCCCUCCUGGGAAAUUUCAAAGACUUUCACAGGCAUCUUGGGGUUUAAAACAAAAUUUUAAAACUCAUUGACUUUUUUAUAAUUAUAAACUUUACGAAGGAUUUAAAAUCUUUUAGCUGUAACGUACAGCUAAUGUAACGGAAGUUUUGCCCCCAUCAGAACCAGUUUCAGGUUUUGAAAUUUCCCACCAUCCGAUUCUGUAACAAACAUCUCCCGUCAUUCCACCAUCCGAUUUUCUAUUGUUUAGUUUCUCACUCCACAUCCAACCACAUCCAACGGCUGAUGCUGCAGUCUGUAGCUUACAGAUUCUGUAAGCUAGUCAAGUCCCAGUUUCAGCACUUUAAAUAAAAAAGUACCUGUCUUCACAUCCUUGGAGUUGGAGCCAAACCAGAUUCCUUUCCUUUUUGUCCCACAUCCAGCUCAAGCUCAAGUCAACCAACUAAUUAUUGAAAGAAUACCAGGACAAACCAAAACCACAGCAUCAAAUAUGGCAGAAGGGAUGAAACUCCAAGUUCCGAGAGUGAAACUCGGAACCCAAGGCCUUGAGGUAACUACCCAUUUGUAAUUUUCUUUUUUUUUUGUUCUUUUAAUCCUGAUCGUUUGAUUUCUCUGAUUGUGUUUUUUUGCUUUUACAGGUAUCAAAGCUGGGAUUUGGAUGCAUGAGCCUGAGUGGAGGUUACAAUUCUCCAGUCUCUGAAGAGGAUGGCAUCUCUAUAAUAAAGCAUGCUUUCAAUAAAGGAAUCACUUUCUUUGAUACUGCUGAUAAAUAUGGACCAUAUACUAAUGAAAUUCUUCUUGGAAAGGUUAGGAUCUUGACUCUUGACACUUGUGUAAGAAUUCUCUUAACUAAACACUUGUUAUGUUUGAUUAAUUUAGUUACAAUUCACAUCUAGAUCAAGCGGUAACCUAAAGAGUAUGAUAGCUGCUAUGGUUCAAGUAAUUUAACUGAUAACUAUGGAAUCACACUCCUAAUAUAAUAUGUUUGUUCAAGGAAUUGGUGAAUAUUUAUUUUUGCACAUUAUUGAGGAUAUAGAAAUCAUUGUUAAAAUUUUCCGAAUUUAUUGGAAAAAAAUUCAUUCCUUUCAGGCCUUGAAGAUGUUGCCCAGAGAAAACAUACAAGUAGCCACAAAGUUUGGGUUUGCAGAAUUGGGACUUGAUGCUGUGAUUGUGAAGGGUAACCCUGAGUAUGUGCGCUCAUGUUGUGAAGCUAGCUUGAAGCGCCUUGAUGUGGAAUACAUUGAUCUGUAUUAUCAACAUAGAGUGGACACAUCAGUCCCCAUAGAGGAAACUGUGAGUGAUUCUCUCUUCCUCAGGCUAACUAUCUGAAUUGAAGAGUUUUGACCCCAAUUAUGAUUUUUAGAUUCUGAUUGUAUCAGUAGUGGUGGGGAUCCAUAUUGAUUGAAUGUGUUCAAAACUAUAUUUGUCAUUUCCUUGUCAAAAUAUAGAUUGGCGAAAUGAAAAAGCUGGUGGAAGAGGGUAAAAUCAAGUACAUAGGAUUAUCUGAGGCUAGCCCAGAUACAAUUAGGAGAGCACAUGCUGUUCAUCCUAUCACAGCUGUACAACUGGAAUGGUCUCUUUGGACUCGUGACAUUGAGAAUGAGAUAGUACCACUUUGCAGGUUCGUUCGACUCGCGAUGAAGAGUGUUUAAGGACCUAUUUAAUUGUUCCUAUCUAAAACUUUAAUUUUUGUAUCUAGUGUCUGAGGAUAUAGCAUUUCAUAAAAUUAGUAACUUGAAUAGGAUAGAUUAGAUUUUCAAAGGAAGUAUAUUCUAUUUAUUUGUUCCAAUCUACUAUUUUGUACCUAAUGUCUGUAGAUAUAGAAUUUUGUAAAAUUCAAUACUUGCAUAGAAUAGAUUAGAUUAGAUUUUAAGUGGAAGUAUAUGCUUGCAUGUACAAGACUGCCCUUCUGAUAGAUUGAAGUGUGCAGGGAGCUUGGCAUUGGAAUAGUUCCAUACAGUCCUCUUGGUCGUGGAUUUUUCGGUGGCAAAGCUGUUGUGGAAAGUGUGCCUCCAGAUAGCUUUUUGGUAUGUUUUUCAUCAAUGUUUGUCCGCAUCGUUUUGUUUCAUAACACAGUAUAACAUAGAUGUUUUUAAGAAACAACAUGAGCUUUCCAGUUUCAUUUGAGACUAAUGUUCCAUAUGUGGUGAAGCUUAUUAAAAUUCUGCAUGUAUCUGUUUUAUAAGAAUUUUCUUCCUCGGUUCACCGGAGAGAACCUGGACAGAAACAGGAGUAUUUAUUUUCGCAUAGAGAACCUUGCCAAAAAGUACAAAUGCACUUCUGCGCAAUUAGCACUGGCAUGGGUUCUCGAACAGGGGGAUGAUGUCGUACCUAUUCCUGGUAAGUUUCUAUCCUUGAGUUCAUGAUUCACGUGUUGACUUGAAGAAAUAUAUAGAGUUCAAAUUCGAGCUGAUCAAAAUAAUGUUGCCUAAUGUUUACUGGUAAUUUGCUUCGAGCAUCAGGGACAACUAAGAUUAAGAACCUAGAAGACAAUAUUGGCUCCUUGACAGUAAAACUUACAAACGAGGAUCUGAAAGAAAUUUCUGAUGCCGUACCCACAGAAGAGGUUGCAGGAGGAAGAUAUCCAGAUUCCUUUGACAAAACAUCGUGGAAUUUUGCAAACACACCUCCAAAAGACUCUUAAGGUUUGAACUUUGAGCUUAAAAUAUUUGCCGGAUGCUGCCUAUAUCAUCACUUGGGGUUGGGAGCUUGGGAUGUCGUAUUUUACGCAAAUAAACUCAGAUAAAUGUCAGAACAUGUUUACAAGAUACCGGUACAUUACUUCGUGCUAAACAAUUUCAUGAGUAAAACUUUGAUCAUUAUGAUGUACUAUAUAUUUGUAAACAUGGUGUGCCGGAUUUGUGAAGUGAGAAUAUGUGUGAGGCUUUUUAAGGUACAACCUGAAAUCAAGUUGCUAAAAUAUUUUUGCCGACUCUCUCUUUCUUUGAAAAUGAAGAUUACAAAUAUCCAAAUUUUGGAUGGAAACAAUUUGACUGCAUUUGCUUCAUCAUAGUACAGAUACAGGUCGAUUCGCAGGCAAAUUAUGGUGUUUGUAGAUGAAACACUUAUUGAAGCAAAAUUAUAUUCAAGUUACAGUGAGAAUGGAGAUUGGAAAAUAACUGCUGUUUGUUUAAGAAUACUCUCUUAUCAUUCAGGAGGAUACAAAUUAACUACCAUUUAAGUCUGACUGGUGCGGUGGUGCAAUUACCACCCCUUUAAGGUCCUUAUGAAACCCAUUUUUAAUUAAAAUUACAUAAAUAGCCAAAGACAAAUUUAAUUGAUUAUAUUUUGAAUGGAAAUUCAAAUAGACACUUAUUUAUUUUUUAACAAAUUUUUUACGCUCACACAACCUCAAAUUCUAUAUUUAUCUUUUAAUUUAUAUUUGAAAAUAUAACUUUUUAUACUAAAAAUAUAUUUUUUAAAGAUUUUUUUUUUACUGGAAAUUAGUUUAGGAUUAAUCAGUUGGUUUGCUAGCCAAAAAGUAAAAAGAUGGCAUAGGGUAGGUUUAUAAUCGUUGAGUUUCUACUUAAUUUUAAAAGUAUAGUUGUUAAAGAUUCUAGUGAACAUUUACUACUUAAGUAAAUAAUAUUCACCGAGCACUCACUUAUCCAUUUAUAUUUAACUGCUAGUAAUUUUGUUCUACAAACACUUUGAAGACGUGAGGUAUAUUUUUAUUGGUAUAUGUGUAUUUAACCAUUUUGGGUCCUAAAAUAAUUAUCAAUUUUUAAGAAGAAUAAAAGCAAAAGAAUGUUUACGUACUUGCUUACGUGAUUAAUAUUGUUAAGCAAACGUGUGCUUACAUACUUGCUUACAUGAUGAAUGUAGUUUAGCAAAAGGGUGCUUACGUACUUGCUUACCUGAUUAUUGUAGAAUACGAUUCUUUACAGCUUCAGGUUACAAUUUUUGUCACUUAUUCAUAUGUUUGAUUUGAUGUUCAAACUUGGAAGUGACAAAAUUCAAUUGCGCAGUCAGCAGUCAUCAAAGACUACUCAAGCUGCUACAGUGCAUUACCGUUGUGAUUUAGAAGUUAAAUUAGUUUUAUUUUAUAUUUGUAUAAUGAAAAAUUUAUAAUACAAUACAUGAUUAAUACCAAGCAGGGCCUCACACGGAAUGUUUGUUUUAAAUUAUUUUUUUAUGAAGAUAUUUGUUUUUUUAAAAUUGAAUAGUGUAUAAGGCUCAAUUUCAGUGCUUUAGACAUUUUAAAGAUUUUUAUUUUUCAACUUAACACUGAAAAAUUGUUGUUUAUGCUUGAAUUUAAAUUUUUAUUUUGGUCAUAGUUGUUGUGUGUGUGUGUAUACAAUCCUUUUUUAGUACGGAUGCUCUCAAUUUUUUUUUUUUUUUGCUGACACGUUUUGAAGCCGUAGGAUUCAAUAGAGUCAGAUUUUAAUGCCAUUAAAGUGCACGACUUUAAGUGGUGAGGUUUAAUAGAGACAAAUUUUAAUGUUAUUAAACUGAUCUAGUAUAGACUCUCUCAUAUUUUUUUUAUACUAACACACUUUUAAGUUGUGGGGUUUAAUAGAGUCAGAUUUUAAUGUUAUUAAACUACGCGAUUUUAUAGCGCAUUCAAAAACUAACUUUAUUAAACCAUACAACUUAACAGUGCAUCUGCAUUUAAAAAAAUGAGGGUGUCUACAUCUGAGAAUGAUUACACACAUCAGAAGUGCGGGCACCUUCAUUUUUUUAAAUGCAGACACACUAUUAAAAUAUAUGAUUUAAUAAAGUCAGUUUUUAAAUGUACUAUAAAAUCGUGUGGUCUAAUAGUAUUUAAAUCUGACUCUAUUAAACCCCACGACAUAAAAGAAUGUUCGCAUAAAAAAAAAAUGAGGGCGUCCGCACUACUCUAUGGCAAUAAAUUAAAAUCUUUAUUAAUUUCCUAAUGAUUUGAAUUUUCAUAAUUACAAGAACCAAUCAUUUCAAUCGUAUUGGUACGAAAAUUUCAAUUUGAUAUCAUACAUAGUACAGAUCAUACAUGCCCAUUUUAUUGUGUAAAUUAAAAAUAUCAAUAACAAAAAUAUUAUUUUGAUAAAAAAUUAGGUUAUAAAAUUUUGAUAAAAAGCUUAAGAAGAUUAAAAUGUCUUGACAAAAAAUAAGUUGAUUGAUAGCUACUUGCCCUAAGAUUUUAAUCAAAAUUUUACCCUAUCAUUUAUUUAGCAUUGUUCGAUAAAUAAAAACAAUUGUUUAAUAAACAAAAACAAUAAAACAGACUCGAUUGACCGUUAAGUUGAUUUUUUUUUAAUUCUAAAAAUAAAUAAUUAUAAGACACGAGGAUUACGCCUAAGGGCUAAGGCCACCUUCCUUUUGGUUCCUUAUAAAUGUCAUUAGUCCCAUGCCUCCAUAUCUAUGCAUAUUAAGAGUCUGAGACAAGUCUUAAGCCAGUAUCAAGAAAAGAAGAAGAAGAAGAAGAAUACGUUUGAAGAAAAUGGCUGAAGAACAAAGAAUCAAGAUUCCAAGAGUGAAACUUGGUGGGCAAGGAUUUGAGGUAAAGUUCAUUUGGUAACUCUUUUCUUUUACAGCAUCAUGAAAAAUAUAAACAAUCACAAAGAGACAUUAUUGUUUCUCAUAUAAUAUUUUUUGAUGAAUUUUAUGUCUUAAAGGUGUCAAAGUUGGGAUUUGGUUGCAUGGGCCUCACUGGAAUGUACAAUGAUCCUGUCCCUGAUGAAGUUGGCAUAUCAAUAAUCAAGCAUGCAUUUGAUCAAGGAAUAACAUUUUUUGACACAGCAGACGUCUAUGGACCCAAUAAUGCUAAUGAACUUCUUGUUGGAAAGGUUAAUGACCAAUUCACAAUGUCGAUAGAUGAAAACUCUUGGCAUGUAAGUAAUUAAUUGAUGAAUCUUUUCAGGCUCUGAAGCAGUUUCCAAGAGAGAAAGUGCAACUAGCCACAAAAUUUGGUGUUGUCAAAUUUGACGUUAGUGGCCUUGUAAUAAACGGUACCCCUGAGUAUGUUAGAGCCUGCUGUGAGGCUAGCCUGAAGCGUCUUGAUGUUGAAUACAUUGAUCUCUAUUAUCAGCAUCGUGUUGACACAACGGUACCUAUAGAGGAUACUGUACGUAAUCUGCUGCCUUCAUUUCUGAUUUCCUUGUCAACAGUCAUUAGUUGCUGCAUCAAUAGUUAUGGUGGCAUUUUGCUUCUUAUCAGAUGGGAGAACUUAAGAAGUUGGUGGAAGAAGGGAAAAUAAAGUAUAUCGGGUUAUCUGAAGCAAGCCCUGAUACUAUAAGAAGGGCACAUGCAGUUCAUCCUGUUACUGCCUUACAAAUGGAGUGGUCGCUCUGGACUCGCGCAAUUGAGGAUGAAAUAGUCCCACUUUGCAGGUUCUUUAUACUGAAAUUGCAAUUGAAAUGUUACCAUUUUCAUUUUUAUCUAUUCAACUUCAGCAGAUUUUCUUUGGUAAAUGAUUCUCAAGUUACCUCUUAGUUAACAUAUCCGUAUAUUCCUGUAAGUGUGAUUUCUGUUAAUGAGAGGCAAUUGUCAUGUUGGAAUAUUAUGUUAUAGGGAACUUGGAAUUGGGAUAGUUCCAUAUAGUCCACUUGGCAGAGGAUUUUUUGGUGGCAAGGCUAGUGUUGAAAGUUUGCCUGCAAAUAGUAUUCUGGUAUGUUUUAGUCUACAAUGUUUCAUUGGUUCAUUUGCUAUUCUGAUCUUGUUACUUUUGAGAGUAAUUUUGAAUUGAUUAACUGAUGGCCAAUCUUUACUCAAGACAUGGCAUCCUAGGUUCUCAGGAGAGAACAUUGACAAAAACAAGAUCUUAUAUUUGCGUCUGCAAAAGUUAGCCGAAAAGCAUGAAUGCAACCCUGCACAACUUGCACUUGCUUGGAUUCUUCAUCAAGGAGAUGAUGUAGCACCAAUUCCUGGUGAGUUAAUCUUUCUUUUCUUAUCGACCGGUGCAAUCAUGAUAGACAUCUCUCCUAUAUGAGUUGAUAAGCCUUGUAUGUGCUUUAUUUUUUUGGCAGGUACAACAAAGAUUAAAAAUCUCGACGACAAUAUAGGUUCUUUGAGAGUGAAACUUACAAAUGAAGAUUUAGAUGAGAUUUCUUCUGUGAUUCCCAUCAAUGAGGUAGCAGGGGAUGGGGUAAUUGGCGGUCUCCUUCGCUACUCCUGGAAGUUCGCGAACACACCAGCAAAAGAUGGUCCACCUCCUCCAGCUACUAAAAGCAUUUGAAAUUUGUAAAAAUUGUACCGAUAAGCAACUUAAUUAGCUUAAGUUAUAAGAAAUGAUGUCUUGAAUAAUUGCAGAAUCUAGCAAACCAGCAUUGAAGUGGAUCAACAAGAUAAGCAAAACCCAAACUGUUUUUCUUGCGACAAAGGCGCAAAGAAAUGAUUUGAGAUUCUGUCACAAUGUUGAGAAUUACUACUGUUUGUUUUAAUAAAUGAUAAUGAAAAUGCAGGGUAGCUUUUAUGUAUUUGAUUUGAGCCUGCUAUGUUGUUGCUAAAUGAAUAUUAUGUACUGAAGGAAAUGUGCAAUCACUAUCGACUCAAGGGUGUUUCCAGCAAGUAAUCUCUAAAAUUAAAAGAUGAACUUGUUCCGAUUUUCCACCUUUUGAGUACUAAUGCAACAACUUUUCAAGUAUUGUUCUGAAAAUUUUAAAUCCUUGGUAUUCAAAACUCAAGCUAUUAUAAAUAGUUUAUGAUCGUUGCAUUGCUUGUACUAUGAGUUCGGUAUGAGCCUUCAAUCAAAAAAAAAAAAAAAAUACAAGCCAUGGUAGAUUCAAUUAUUCAUCAAGAGUAACAUCAGGAGGCUAAAUUCAGCCACAGGAGCCAAAAGAAACCACAGGUUGCACAAUAUAGGAUUCAAAUUGGAUUGCACUCAAAACUUGUUCAAUCGGAAAGACACAAGGAUAUAGUACAUAUGUAAUCUCGUUACUAGAAAAAAUCUUAAGUGGAAUUGACAUACCAUAUGAUCGUAUACUUAUCCACUAAAAUUUUAGUAUAUAUAUCCAUUUUAAAAUUGGUCAAUCAUGAAAAUAAGAGCAAAGAAAAUUAGAUCAUUUAACAUCAUUUUAUUACGGAAAAUUUACAAAAAAAGCCAAAAAAAUUAGGCAUUUUUCAACUUUAACCCCUCAAACUUUUUUCUUUCAAUAUUAACCAAAUCAUCAAAUUAUGGACGAAAUUGCCCUCCUCAUUCUCACGUUUCCCUCAAGCAAAUUCCCCCCCCCCUCUCACCAAAAUCUCAUCACUGGAAGUUGUAUAGAUCGUCGGCGGCAGCGUAGAUCGGCAGCGGAAGAAGUUGUCGGCGGCUGAAAGAAGUUAAAUCACGUUGAAAAUCUUCGGAGAUCUCCAAAAUCAAAGAAAAAAUUAAAAACCCUAGGUGAAUUGUUAUUGUCGUUGUUGUUGUUGUUGUUGAUGUUGUUGUUGUUUGGGAUGUUGUUGAUGUUGGUGGUGUUUAAUGGCGGUGGUGGGUGAGAUGCAUGUGGGAAAGGGAAGGGAAGAGAAAGAGAAGAGAAAGGGAAGGGGAAGUGAAGGCACGCAUGCGUUGCGCGCGAGAUUCGCACGCCGCGCGCAUUUCGCUUGCGACAGGUGCUGCGUUGCGCGUGAGAUGCUCGCAGCGUGCGCAUCUCGUGUGCUACAGGCGAUGCGUCGCGCACGAGAUUCGCACGUUGCGCGCAUUUCGCGUGCGACAGGUGCUGCGUCGCGCGCGAGAUGCUCGCAGCGUGCGCAUCUCGCGUGCGACAGGCUAUGCGUCGCGCGUGAGAUCGCGCGCGACGNNNNNNNNNNNNNNNNNNNNNNNNNNNNNNNNNNNNNNNNNNNNNNNNNNNNNNNNNNNNNNNNNNNNNNNNNNNNNNNNNNNNNNNNNNNNNNNNNNNNGCGCGACGCAGCGCCUGUCGCGCUCUAGAUGCGCAUGCUGCGCGCAUCUUGCGUGCCAGGCAGCGGCCUCGCGCGCGCGAGUUGCGGGCAGGCUGGCACGCAACUCGCGCGCCCUUGGCUUCCCUCGCACGCCUGUCGCACCAAGAGGUGCUGCCUCUUGGUGCGACGGGGUGCCAAGAGGUGCUGCUUGUUGGUGCGACGGGCACCCCGUCGCACCAAGAGGCAGUGCGUGGUGCAUUUCCCAUUGCACUUUACCAUGAAGCUUUGCCAAAGCUGGCUUUGUGGAUUGAUUAGUAGCAUUGGCGUAAUGAUACUACACAAUUUGCUUCACUCUAUAAAUUCUAUUAACUGCAAUGAAAAUCAUAUCUUGCAGCACAUAUACAUUGAAGCAACAGCUUUGCACAUUGUUGCAGAAAUUAAUUCGUUUUUUUCUUUUUAUGUAGGAUAUAAGGCGAAGCAUUAAUUCAGGUAGUUUGCAGCCACUAAUGACAAACAUUCCAGCUUCUUCCAUGUAUAGUGUGAGAUCAGGAUCCACAAAAAGUAGGACAGUUAGUGUUACAGACUCUCCUCUUGCCACAAGCAGCAAUGCUAGCUCUGAACCAAGUGCCAACAACAACUCCUUUAUUUUAGACGGAAGUGAACUCGAUGACAUUCAUGAUUUUGGGAGUGAGAGAGGAAACUUCUCCCCUGUAAGGCACAAUACAACAGAAAACAAUUUAUAACAUUAAAAAUUAUAGACUAAUUAGAGUAAGGCACAAUACAAUCUCGAUAAAUUAAUAGUUUGCGACCAUAAAAAAUAUAUUAAUUUAUCAAUAGAUUAAUAAUUUAUUAAUUUAUAAAGAUAAUAUCAUGUUCAUAAUAGGAAAUUUUAUGAAAUAUGGUAGUAUAAUUAAAGAAUGUAGUGAUUUUAUCAAGUUAUAUGAUAUGAUUCUAAAUAAUCUUUUUGGAGGCAAUAUAUUAGAUUUACUUCGUCUCAUCGUAAGCUUCGAAACAAUAUAUUAUACGCCUAAAACGGACACAUGUAGCCCAAGUUAUUACUUUCAGAAAAUAACUUAAAUUUAGUGAGACAGGCAGUGGAACAGGUGCCUGUCUCACAUAAAACCAGCAGAUUUAUGUGAGACAGGUGCCUGUCCCACUUGCCUGUCUCACAUAAAACCAGUGAUAACAAGUGAGACAGGCGCCUGUCUCACAUAAAAGGGAAUAGUGGCAUACCUUUGUAAAUUUGAUGAAAAUGAUGAGGGUAAUGUAGUCCAAAAAUAGAGUGUUUGGCUAGUUAUGAUAGAAAAAAGUUUGAGGGGUUAAAGUUAAAAAAUGCCUAAUUUUUUUGGCUAUUUUUGUAAAUUUCCCUUUUAUUACAUGGUCUCGAUAUUUGAUGGUCACAUUGAGAGCGUAAGUAUCUCUCCUACCGGACAUUUUGCAAAGUCUAGGCUUUAUUGGUCAACUUUUAAACUAUUUUGUGCUUGUUUCCAAUUACACUGAACUUCAGAAUUUUGUUAAAACUUAAUAAUUAUAAUAUUACAUGAAUGCUUAUGAUAAAAAUAGAGACACGUAUUCCAGCUUAACACUUGCCAAGACACAACCUCGGAGUUGAAGCCGAACCGCAUUCCUCUUUGUCCUCAUUCUGCUCAUUGCCCAAGUUAAGGUCAACGAGCUCUACUUACUGAAAGACACUGAAACAAAGAAACCAAAACAACAUCCUCAAAUAUGGCAGAAGAGAAACUCCAAGUUCCAAGAGUGAAACUGGGUACCCAAGGCCUUGAGGUAAACUGUCCAUUUGUAAUUUUUACCUUUUUUUCAAAAAAAGGUCCUGAAAAUUUGUUUUCUAUAAUUGUGUGUUUUGCAUGCUUUUACAGGUUUCAAAAUUGGGUUUUGGAUGCAUGAACCUGAGCGGAGGUUAUAGCUCUCCAGUCUCAGAAGAGGACGGCAUAACAAUGAUAAAGCAUGCUUUCAGUAAAGGAAUCACUUUCUUUGAUACUGCUGAUGUUUACGGACAAAAUGCUAAUGAAGUUCUUCUUGGAAAGGUCAUGGUCUUCUGUUGCAGUUUUCUAAACAAUAUUUCUGUUUCAUUAAUUUAAUUAUAUACAAUUCACAGAUAGAUCAAGUGGUAACUUAAGGAGUAUGAUAGUUGCAAAGAUUCAAGUAAUUUUUCUUAUAACUUGUUGGUAAUACAAAGAUCAUAAUACUAAUAAUGAAAUAUUUCUGUUUAAGGAAUUGGUGGAUAGCUACUUUUGGGGAUUGUUGUGGAUAUCAUAGGAUGGAAAUCAUUAUCAGAAUAUUGCGAAUUUAUUGGAAAAAAAAAAUUCACUCCUUUUGAUUUCAGGCCUUGAAGCAGUUGCCUAGAGAAAAGAUACUAGUAGCAACGAAGUUUGGGAUUGCAGGAAUAGGAGAUACUGAUAUCAUCGUGAAGGGUUCCCCUGAUUAUGUGCGCUCGUGUUGUGAAGCUAGCUUGAAGCGUCUUGAUGUGGAUUACAUUGAUCUAUAUUAUCAACAUAGAGUGGACAAAUCAGUUGCUAUAGAGGAAACGGUGACUUAUUAUUAUGAUUAUUUUUUUCUCUCCAGGCUAACUAUGUGAAUUGUAAAGAUUUGUCCCAAAUUACAAUAUGAAAGAAUAUGUUAGAAACUAUAUCCCUUGUCAUGUUAUAGAUUGGUGAAAUGAAGAAGCUAGUGGAAGAGGGUAAAAUCAAGUACAUUGGAUUAUCUGAGGCUAGUCCAGACACAAUUAGGAGAGCACAUGCUGUUCAUCCCAUUGCAGCUGUACAAAUGGAAUGGUCCCUCUGGACUCGUGAUAUUGAGGAAGAUAUAAUACCACUUUGCAGGUCUGAUCUGCUUUCAAUGAAUGCUAUCCCCAUUAUUCUUUUCUUCUAUAGGCCUUUGAAGAGUGUCCAAGGACCUAUUUAUUUGUGCCAAUCUAGUAUUCUGUACCUAAUGUCCAUAGAUACAGAAUUUUGUUUAUUCAUUAAUUGCGUAGAGUAGAUUAGAUUUUCUGUGGAAGUAUAUGCUAAUAUGUACUAGGCUGCCCUUCUGAUACAUUAAAGUGUACAGGGAACUUGGCAUUGGAAUAGUUCCAUUCAGUCCUCUUGGUCGUGGAUUUUUUGGUGGCAAAGUUGUAGUGGAAAGUGUACCUGCAGAUAGCUUCUUGGUAUGUUUUUCAGCUAUUUUUAUCCACAUCAUUUUGUUUCCUACGUCAGUACUAUAUCAUUGUCUUAAACACUAGUUUUCCAGUUUCAUUUAAUGUUUUAUAUAUCGUAAUACAUAUUAAGACAAUGCAUUCGUUUCUUUUAUAAGCAUCUUUUCCCUCGGCUCAAUGGAGAGAACCUGGACAGAAACAGGAGUAUUUAUGUUCGCAUAGAGAACCUUGCCAAAAAGAACAAAUGCAGUUCUGCUCAACUAGCACUGGCAUGGGUUCUUGGACAGGGGGAUGAUGUUGUACCAAUUCCUGGUAAAUUUCUUUUGUGUUUGUGAUUCAUGUAGUGCCUUGAAGAAGUGUAUAGAGUUUAGAAAAACCCAGCCUAUCAAGAUAAGAUUACCUGCAUUAAUGGAUACUGUUAUUUUGCUUCGAGUUUCAGGGACAACUAAGAUUAAGAACCUGGAUGAAAAUAUUGGCUCCUUGAUAGUAAAACUUUCAAAAGAGGAUCUGAAAGAAAUUUCUGAUGCUGUACCGAUAGAAGAGGUAGCUGGAGGCAGAUUCCCAGAUAUCUUUGACAAAUCAUCGUGGAGGUUUGCAAACACCCCUCCAAAAAGGCAAUGAGGUUUGAAAUAUUCUGGACGCUGGAAUGCUGCCUAUCUCACUCUUGGGGUUGGGAUGCAGUACUUUAUUCAAAUAAAUACCUAAUUAGCUAUAAACUUCGGAUGAUCACUAUGAUCUACUAUAUGUUUGUUAAUUUAGUGUGGCCAUUUGUGAACUGAGAAUAUCUUUUAUUGUAAACCUGAAGUCACAUCCUGAAUUCAAGUUGCUGUAAAAGCUUGCCAACUCUUUUUUUGAAAACAAGGUUGCAAAUUCCAAUAGCUAAAUUUGAGUUCUACCUUGUGGGCUUAACAACAUUUCAAAUUGUAAAUGGUACUUAAGCUUUCUUUUUCAUUUUUUUUUUCUUUCCCUUGUGUGUUUCUUAGGAUUAUGUUCCUGAUUUUGUUGCAUUUACAGAACUGAAUCACUAAUAUAAGCAAAAGCCAAAAUAUUUUCUUGCAACAAAAGCAAAAGAAAGGAUACAAAUUUCUAUCACGAUAGAGAGAAUUCGUUCUCCUUGUUUCAGUAAAUGAUAAGGAAAAUGCAAGGUUGCUUUUAUGUAUUUGAUUAUAGCCUGCUAUGUUGUUGCUACAUGAAUAUUAUGUACUGAAAGAUUUGUACACUCUCUAUGACUCAAGGCUGUUUCCAGCAGGCAAUCACCCAAAUUAAAAGAUGAACUUGUUCCUAUUUUCCUCCUUGUGCGUACUAAUGCAAAAGCUAUUCAAGUAUUGCUCUGAAAAUUUAAAAUCCUUGAUGUUCAAAACUCAAGCUAUUAUAAAUAGUUUAUGGUCGUUGCAUUGCUUGUAUUAUGAGUGUGGCAUUAGCCUUCAAUCAAAGAAAAUACAAAGCCAUGGCAUAUUCAAUUAUUCAUUCAAGGCUAACAUCAGGAGGAUAAAUUCAGCCACAGGAGCCAAAAGAAACGACAGGAUGCACAAUAUUGCAUUCAAAUUGGAUUGCACUCAAAACAUAUUCAAUUGAAACAACACAAUAAUGCGGCACAUAUGUAAUCUUGAUGUUAGAAAAAAUUUCAAGUAUGCUGACAUCCACGUCAUCACACGCCUAUCUAAUAAAAUUUUAGUAUAUAUAUCCAUUUUAAAGUUGGUCAAAAUUAGAUCGUUUAAUAUAAUUUUAUUAGAGGGUCUCGUUAUUUGACAGUCACACCGAGAACAUAAAUAUCUCUCCUACCAGAAAUUUUGCAAAGUCUAGGGCUUAUUUGUCAACUUUUAAACUUUUUUGAACUUGCUUCCAAUUACACUGAACUUCAGGAUUUUGUCCAAACUAUAUAAUUGUAAUAUUACAUUAUUCGCCAUGAUAAAGAUACAGAGAACAUAUUCCAGCUUAGCCCUUGUCAAGACACAACCUUGGAGUUGGAGCCGAGCCACAAUCCUCUUUGUCUCAUUCUGCUCAUUGCUCAAGUUAAAGUCAACCAUCUCUCCUCAUUGAAAGACAUUGAAACAAAGAAGCCAAACUACAGCCUCAAAAAUGGCAGAAGAGAAACACCAAGUUCCAAGAGUGAAAUUGGGUACCCAAGGCCUUGAGGUAAACAACCCAUUUGUAAUUUUCAUUUUUUCAAAAAAGGUCCUGAAAAUUUGUUUUCUAUGAUUGUGUGUUUUGCAUGCUUUUACAGGUUUCAAAAUUGGGUUAUGGAUGCAUGAACCUGAGUGGAGGUUAUAGCUCUCCAGUCUCAGAAGAGGAUGGCAUAUCAAUGAUAAAGCAUGCUUUCAGUAAAGGAAUCACUUUCUUUGAUACUGCUGAUGUGUACGGACAAAAUGCUAAUGAAGUUCUUCUUGGAAAGGUUAUGGUUUUCUGUUGCAAUUUUCUUAACAACGUUUCUGUAUGAUAAAUUUAAUUAUAUACAAUUCACACAUAGAUCAAGUGGUAACUUAAGGAGUAUGAUGGUUACUAAGAUUCGAGAAAUUUUUCUUAUAACUCGUUGACAAUACAAGGAUCACAAUACUAAUAAUGAAAUAUUUUAUGCUAAUAAUGAAAUAUUUUUGUUAAGGGAAUUGGUAAAUAGCUACUUUUGGGUACUAUUGUGGAUAUCAUAGGAUGGAAAUCAUUAUCAGAAUAUUGUGAAUUUAUUGGAAAAAUAAUUCACUCCUUUUCAUUUCAGGCCUUGAAGCAGUUGCCUAGAGAAAAGAUGCAAGUAGCAACAAAGUUUGGGAUUGCAGGAAUAGGAGUUGCUGGUGUGAUCGUGAAGGGUGCCCCUGAUUAUGUGCGCUCGUGUUGUGAAGCUAGCUUGAAGCGCCUUGAUGUGGAUUACAUUGAUCUAUAUUAUCAACAUAGAGUGGACACAUCAGUCCCCAUAGAGGAAACCGUGAGCGAAUUUUUUUUUUUUUGGGGGAUAUCUGAAUUGUAAAGUUCUGUCCCAAAUUGCAAAAUUUGAAGAUUUAUUUUAGAAACUCUAUUACUUGUCAUGUUAUAGAUUGGCGAAAUGAAGAAGCUGGUGGAAGAGGGUAAAAUCAAGUACAUUGGAUUAUCUGAGGCCAGCCCAGGCACAAUUAGGAGAGCACAUGCUGUUCAUCCCAUCACAGCUGUACAAAUGGAAUGGUCCCUCUGGACUCGUGAUAUUGAGGAAGAGAUAAUACCCCUCUGCAGGUUUGUUCUUCUUUCAGUGAACACUAUCCGCAUUAGUCUUUUCUUCUACAGGCCUUUGAAGAGUGUCUAAGGGCCUAUUUAUUUGUUCCAAUCUAGUAUUUCGUACCUAAUGUUUGUAUAAUUUUUUAAAUUUAGUUGCGUGCAUAGAAUAGAUUAGAUUUUAUGUGCAAGUGUAUGCUAAUAAAUACAAGGCUGUCCUUCUGAUACAUUGAGGUGGGCAGGGAACUCGGCAUUGGAAUAGUUCCAUACAGUCCUCUUGGUCGUGGAUUUUUCGGUGGCAAAGCUGUUGUGGAGAAUGUACCUGCAGAUAGCUUUUUGGUACUUUUUUCGGUCAAUGUUUAUCCGCAUCAUUUUGUUUCCUCAGUCAGUACUAUAUAAAUGUUUUAAACUAACAAAAGUAGUUUUACAGUUUCUUUUAAUGCUACUGUUUUAUAUAUCGUAGUAUAUAUGAAAAUGAUACGUGUGUUUGUUUUAUAAGCAUUUUCUUCCUAGGUUCAAAGGAGAGAACCUGGACAGGAACAAGAGUAUUUAUUUUCGCAUAGAGAACCUUGCCAAAAAGUACAAUUGCACUUCUGCUCAACUAGCCCUAGCAUGGGUUCUCGGACAGGGGGAUGAUGUCGUACCUAUUCCCGG
RNAcentral lists this long non-coding RNA (31255 nucleotides) under Citrus x clementina. Its description in RNAcentral is "Citrus clementina (C. clementina) long non-coding RNA (CCLE_LNC002906)". Lineage: Eukaryota; Viridiplantae; Streptophyta; Magnoliopsida; Sapindales; Rutaceae. The record is from RNAcentral.